RNAcentral lists this ribosomal RNA (667 nucleotides) under Wickerhamiella lipophila. RNAcentral describes it as "LSU rRNA". It matches the Rfam family "Eukaryotic large subunit ribosomal RNA", at positions 1 to 683 of the family's 3401-position model. Lineage: Eukaryota; Fungi; Ascomycota; Dipodascomycetes; Dipodascales; Trichomonascaceae. The record is from RNAcentral.
UAAAUUUUAACUAUUGACCUCGUAUCAGGUAAGAGUACCCGCUGAACUUAAGCAUAUCAAUAAGCGGAGGAAAAGAAACCAACAGGGAUUGCCUUAGUAGUGGCGAAUGAACCGGCAAAAGUCCAAAUUUGAAAUCUGCCAGCAAUGGCCGAGUUGUAAUUUGAAGAUGGUAAUUCUGUAGAGAGUCUUUGCUCAAGUUUCCUGGAAUGGAACGCCGUGGAGGGUGACAGCCCCGUGAGGCAUUGACUUAAUACGUGUAGAGUACUAUCAAAGAGUCGAGUUGUUUGGGAAUGCAGCUCUAAUCUCGUGGUAAGUGGCACGAAAGACUAAAUAUUGGUGAGAGACCGAUAGCGAACAAGUACUGUGAAGGAAAGAUGAAAAGCACUUUGAAAAGAGAGUGAAAUAGUACGUGAAAUUGUUAAUAUGGAAGGAUAUGAAACUAGACACAGAGUCUUGAGUUCUGCAGUUCUUCGGAAUUGUUUUGUCUCUUGAUUCUACACCAGCAUCAGUUUUGGCAGGAGGAUAAACAGUGUGAAAUGUAGCUACUUUGUAGUGUUAUAGUCUCUCUGCAUACUCUUAGCCGGGACUGAGGUCAGCCUUUGUAGGAUGCUGGGGUAAUGGUUUUAUAUCACCCGUCUUGAAACACGGACCAAGGAGUCUAUUGCCU